GAUGAAGAACGUAGUGAAAUGCGAUAAUUAAUGAGAAUUGCAGAAUUCAGUGAAUCAUCGAGUCUUUGAACGCACAUUGCGCCCCCUGGUAUUCCGGGGGGCAUGCCUGUCCGAGCGUCAUUGCUGCCCUCAAGCACGGCUUGUGUGUUGGGCUUCCGUCCCUGGCAACGGGGACGGGCCCAAAAGGCAGUGGCGGCACCAUGUCUGGUCCUCGAGCGUAUGGGGCUUUGUCACCCGCUCCCGUAGGUCCAGCUGGCAGCUAGCCUCGCAACCAAUCUUUUUAACCAGGUUGACCUCGGAUCAGGUAGGGAUACCCGCUGAACUUAAGCAUAUCAAUAAGCGGAGGA
RNAcentral lists this unclassified non-coding RNA (347 nucleotides) under soil metagenome. RNAcentral describes it as "partial contains 5.8S ribosomal RNA, internal transcribed spacer 2, and large subunit ribosomal RNA". The stretch from base 1 to 120 matches the Rfam family "5.8S ribosomal RNA", at positions 35 to 154 of the family's 154-position model. The record is from RNAcentral.